GAGUAAUGCAGUACGGAACGUACCGGAAGGUGGGGAUAACGUAGCGAAAGUUACGCUAAUACCGCAUAUUCUGUGAGCAGGAAAGCGGGGGAUCGCAAGACCUCGCGCUUCCGGAGCGGCCGAUGUCGGAUUAGCUAGUUGGCGGGGUAAAGGCCCACCAAGGCAACGAUCCGUAGCGGGUCUGAGAGGAUGAUCCGCCACACUGGGACUGAGACACGGCCCAGACUCCUACGGGAGGCAGCAGUGGGGAAUUUUGGACAAUGGGGGCAACCCUGAUCCAGCCAUGCCGCGUGAGUGAAGAAGGCCUUCGGGUUGUAAAGCUCUUUCGGCUGGGAAGAAAUCGCAUCUCCUAAUACGGGGUGUGGAUGACGGUACCAGCAUAAGAAGCACCGGCUAACUACGUGCCAGCAGCCGCGGUAAUACGUAGGGUGCGAGCGUUAAUCGGAAUUACUGGGCGUAAAGCGUGCGCAGGCGGUUUCGUAAGACAGAGGUGAAAUCCCCG
RNAcentral lists this ribosomal RNA (502 nucleotides) under uncultured bacterium. Its description in RNAcentral is "bacterial SSU rRNA". It matches the Rfam family "Bacterial small subunit ribosomal RNA", at positions 108 to 605 of the family's 1533-position model. The record is from RNAcentral.